UGCUUUUCUUGAUUAGUGGCGCACGGGUGAGUAAUGCAUAGAUAAUGUGCCCCUUAGUUCGGGAUAGCCACUGGAAACGGUGAUUAAUACCGGAUACUCCUUCUUGUUAUAAGACAAGUCGGGAAAGUUUUUCGCUAAGGGAUCAGUCUAUGUUCCAUCAGCUUGUUGGUGAGGUAAUGGCUCACCAAGGCUAUGACGGAUAUCUGGUUUGAGAGGAUGAUCAGACACACUGGAACUGAGACACGGUCCAGACUCCUACGGGAGGCAGCAGUGAGGAAUAUUGCACAAUGGAGGAAACUCUGAUGCAGCAACGCCGCGUGGAGGAUGACGCAUUUCGGUGUGUAAACUCCUUUUAUUAGGGAAGAUAAUGACGGUACCUAAUGAAUAAGCACCGGCUAACUCCGUGCCAGCAGCCGCGGUAAUACGGAGGGUGCAAGCGUUACUCGGAAUCACUGGGCGUAAAGGGUGCGUAGGCUGGCUUUUAAGUCAGAUGUGAAAUCCAAUGGCUCAACCAUUGAACUGCAUUUGAAACUGAAAGCCUAGAGUUCAGAAGGGGCAGAUGGAAUUAGUGGUGUAGGGGUAAAAUCCGUAGAUAUCACUAGGAAUAUCAAAAGCGAAGGCGAUC
This 625-nucleotide ribosomal RNA is filed under the name uncultured bacterium. RNAcentral's name for it is "bacterial SSU rRNA". It matches the Rfam family "Bacterial small subunit ribosomal RNA", at positions 80 to 726 of the family's 1533-position model. The record is from RNAcentral.